UUUCUUCUUUGGUUUUUUCUCUUUCUUAUGCUUUUUCACAGACUUCUUCUUCCAAGUAGAUUUUCUCUUAGAAGUAGAAGCCAACUCAGCAGCGAGAACAGUGCCCCUUCAACCUUUCAAGGCCUCUUCAGCAAUUACCAACAUAUUUAACAAUUCAGUCUUUGUGCAUUCAAUCUUAUUCAUAUGGUAGUUUACUAUAAACUGCCCAAAUGGAUCAGAAAGGGAUUGCAAGAUCAAAUCCACUUGUCGUUCUUUAUGCAUGGUCAUGCCGAGCUUCUCAAGCUCCUCUAGGUCCUUGAUCAUAGUCAAACAAUGAUCAUGGACAGACUACCCUUCGCGCAUCUUCGCUUUGAAGAGCCUCUUGGACACUUCAAA
This 375-nucleotide long non-coding RNA is filed under the name Phoenix dactylifera (date palm). RNAcentral's name for it is "long non-coding RNA (PDAC_LNC012364)". Lineage: Eukaryota; Viridiplantae; Streptophyta; Magnoliopsida; Arecales; Arecaceae. The record is from RNAcentral.